UACGAAGGGUGCAAACGUUGCUCGGAAUUAUUGGGCGUAAAGCGCACGUAGGCGGCUUUGCAAGUCGGAAGUGAAAUCCCUCGGCUCAACCAAGGAAGUGCUUUCGAAACUGCAGAGCUUGAGUACUUAAGAGGAUCGCGGAAUUCUCGGUGUAGAGGUGAAAUUCGUAGAUAUUCGCAAGAACACCAGUGGCGAAGGCGGCUUACUGGUCCGGAUCUGACGCUGAGGCGCGAAAGCGUGGGGAGCAAACAGG
Molecule: ribosomal RNA, 253 nt
Filed under: uncultured bacterium
Lineage: Bacteria
Description: partial 16S ribosomal RNA
Rfam family: Bacterial small subunit ribosomal RNA
Source: RNAcentral